AAGCAAGUAGUGAAAGUGAACACUAAGAGAAUAAAGACAAGCUGGAACCCACAGACAAAGCUGUGGCAGUUUUUACUGUCUUCUACCUAAACGAUGUGGGUGUCCUACAGAGGUUGGUGCCGUUUGUGGUGUUGCUAAGCACACACAUAGCCCAGGAGCUGGAAGAGCUGGAGGAGAUCUUGGGGAAAGGAGAGGAGCUACAGGCCUAUCUACUGAGCCAUGCCAACAAGAACCAGCAGGAGAGAUGGGGUUUCACUAUGUUGACCAGGCUGGUCUCGAACUCUUGACCUCAUGAUCCACCUCCUUGGCCAAAGAUUCAAGUCAGUGCAAUAAAAAAAGUACAUUUCUGAUCACAUCUCCAUUUCUUCAACAUUUACGUAUUUUCAUUUCCAAGAUAUUCCAUACAGCAUGAAUCCAUGAAGAAUUAGGCUUCGACUAAGAUUCUUUCUACAUUGAUCUCUUGAGUUUAGCAAAGGGAGCCUAUAAACGAGCUGCUUUCCCUGAUGUCAGCACUGAAACUCGAGAAACAAGUUUCUCUGAAAUCUCUGGAUCAUCUUACAUUCUGGCAAUUUCUACCUUCUGUUAAUGAAGGUAGUCGUCUCUUUCCAACUAGAUGGGAACACAGACUCCUGAGAAGCCACACCUUAAAAUUGAGGACAGAAGUGUGUGAGACCAGGUACUCCAACCCCUACCCGCAACCACACACACAGAGGAAACCAGGAAUCCACAACAGCAUACCAACCUUGGCCUUCAGGUUCUCUCUCCUCCUGGGCCCUCAGGAGAACCCACGGAUUUGCUUUAGCCCCAACAUGCAAAGGGAGAAUUUGGGCAAAAAGACUUCAAGGCAUCUUGCAGAGGUGGUAGGCCUCUAUAUAAGACUUUAAACUCCUACAGAUGUGGAUUUGGAUCAGCAUGAUCUAAUUAUUCUGGCUAUUGACUCCUCAUCAAUCUACAUGGUGGCCAUAAAUUCUAGAUAUAGUCCACAUGGUGUAGUGGGCAAGUAUUUUCAGCGACGAUACUGUGUUUAUGGAGGCCGCUGCGGAUGUGAACACAGCAAGCCACUGAAACGGGAAGAAGCAACCGCUACAGAUCUAACUACAAAAUCAUCCCUUGCUGCUUCUUCAAGUCUCUCAUUCAUAGUUGGACCGCUUGUGGAAAUGAAUACAGGCGAAGCUGAGUCAGAUUCAAACUUUGCAACUGUAGGGGUGGGUUCAGAGGACUAGGUAGAUGCUGUUGAGUUCGUUCCUGGGCAACUCUGCUGCAGCUGUACUUCCCCUUUCUGCAGUGACCAAGGGAGAAUCAGAGAAAGAGCAAACAGCUGUGAUAACAAAGAAGCCACUUUGCCCCUAGGCUGCAGUGGGAGAGAUGGAAAUGGGUAGAACUAUGUGUAUCUCCACAGAGAGUCAUGUGAUCAUGUAAGCUGCAGGUCCUACCUCCAAUGGAUGCUGCCCAGAGACCACAGCAUAUAAAAAUCUUGCCCUGAGGCCCAUGAGAAGGAAAUGGAGCUCUCACUUGCUGUGCAGUGCAGCAAGGAUACGGUGUGUGGGAUCUGCAUGGAGGUGGUCUGUGAGAAAGCCAGCCCCAGUGAGCCUGGCUUUGGGAUCCUCUCCAGCUGCAGCCACGCCUACUGUCUCAAGUGUAUUCACAAGUGGAAGGGCACUAAGCUAUUUGAGAGCAAGAUCAUAGUGUCCUACCCAGAAUGCCGGAUCACAUCUAACUUUGUCAUUCCCAGUGAGUACCAGGUGGGAGAAAGAAGAGAAGCAGAAACUCAUCCAGAAAGUCAAAGAGGCGAUGAGCAGCCAGGCGUGCAGGGAUUUGGAUGAAGGACAGGAGAGCUGCCCAUCUUGGGGGAUGUGUUUUUACAAGCAGGUAUUCCCUGAUGGCCAUAGAAAGGAUACACAGAGACAGGCAAACAGAUACUGGGCCCAGUGAAGGAACCACAUCUGGGAGUUCAUUGAGGAAAGAGAAAAAUGACCCCUUUAACAACAAUGAAGAAGAGGUUGUCACCUUCGAGUUGGGUGAGAUGUUGCUUAUGCUUUUGGCAGUUGGGUACCAUGACAGACUUUGAAAAUGAGUGGGACUUGUUCCGUGAUGAUCUGGAAGAUUUUUAUGACUUGGCUCAAUAGCCACCUUGCAUGGCAUGUGAACUGGCCUGCUGACCUCAGACAGCAGCAGUCCCCUGUGGUGGUGUGACAGUGCCCGUGUUUCUCUCCUGGGCAGGCCUAUCAACUCCAGGUGCUGUCUUAAUAAUUUUUACCCAGGGCCUGUCUUCUCAAUCUGUGACCUUUCCCCAAGGAGUGUACUAUUUUCUCUGUGGAAAAAAGUUUCAAAAAUAAAUCCUGAAGUUAGUGUUUUGUAACAUGAAUUUAACAGACAGUUCGUAUAGGUGUGUUGUGUCAUCUGUUUGCAACCAGACUGUGUUUAUGGACUUCGCACGCUCAUUUUGAGGAGCCUAGGUUCGAAAGUAAAAGCUGUGGUGCUGCUUUGGGGUCCAAGGAGAGGAGUGAUGGGUGAAGGGAUGUGCGCUUCUAAAGAGCCUUCUGCUCCAACACAGGAUGUGGAUCCUUGAGGUUUCUGCUGAAAUCUGCACAUCUGUGUUUUUAUAUCUGUUCCCUACCCUGUAAUUCCCACCCUGUCCACUUGCUCUGUGGUUUUGGUCUCUUGCUUAAUUGUACACAAGUAAUACUACUGGGUAACCAGAACCAGGUGUGAAUGUGUUGAGAUUUCUACUGUCUGUUUUGUUUGUUGUUUGUUUUAGAUGGAGUCUCACUCUGCCACCCAGGCUCCCAGGCUGGAGUACAGUCACACGAUCUCAGCUCACUGCAACCUCCCCCUCCUAGGUUCAAGCAAUUCUCCUGCCUCAGCCUCCCGAGUAGCUAGGACUACAGGCAUGCACCACCACACCUGGCUAAUUUUUGUAUUUUUGGUAGAGACAGGGUUUUGCCAUGUUGGCCAGGCUGGUCUUGAACUCCUGACCUCAGCUGAUCCUCCCACCUCGACCUCCCAGAGUGCUGGGAUUACAAGCGUGAGCCAUCAUGCCUGGCCUUACCGUGUUUUGAAUGAUAGGAAAAUUGAGAAAGAAUGCAAAUAAAAGAUAGAGGGGCAUAAAAUCAAUGCAGAAUUGCAAGUUGACUCCCAAGAGCUUGGUGUGUGUGAGUGUGGGUAUGUGAUAAGCCUCCCAUCCCUGCAUAGAUGCAGUAUUCUUAGCCUUAGUAGGGAAACUUGGUUUAGUGGUUUAAGCCUUGUGUGGCAGAUAGAUUUUAAAGGACAAAGCAGUAUAUUGGUAGUUGUUAAUAUAGCAGUGCUAGCUCUGUCUGUCUAUAUAAAGAAAGAAAUAGGGUUAGCCAUGGAGUUAAAACUAUCUGGUUAUCCUACAUAUUAACACAAACUGGGGCUUGGAUACAGAAUUGUAUUUACUGUUUACAAUCUAGGCUUUCUAGUCCAGGCACUUUUUGAAAAACCUUUGUCCCCAUUCAAGGUGUUUUGUUGUUGAGUUUUUUGUGUUUGUUUUUGUGAGUAUUUGCAUAAUUCCACCUCUGAGCUUUCAAGUAGACAGAUGUGAUUCAAAACUACAUUCUAAGGUGUUUACUAUAGUGGAGUAAUUGGUCUACAGUAAUAAGUCACACUUUUCUACUAAAGGGGAGGAGAUGGCAAUCCCUGAGACAAGCUAAGUUAUUAAAAGAAUUUCUAUUGGAAAUUUUGCCUUUGUGCUUUGUCGCUCUGUUUCCUGAAAAUAACUUGGACCUGCUCCUGGUCUACCACUUGGUUCCUCGGAUCCCACUCAGUCUUUAACUUUAAGAAAAAAACAAGUAAUUGUUGCUGUUUCGUUUCGAAGGGAAGGUGAGGGUUAAAGAAAGACACGCAGAGAGAGUGGGUCUCAACAGCAACACAGGCAUAUUGCAAAAACAUGCAGAGAUGGGGGAUCAGCUUAAAGCCAGAGUCUACCACCACUUACAGGCUGGGGUACUUAUAGGUAUGGGCAGGAGGGGUCUGGGCCACUGGCUUGCUGCCCGGCAGGAUAUUGAUAAGAUGUACCUGUGGUCAAGCAGUUUGGCCCUUUUUCCAGUGGGAUGUGAUAAGAUGUUCCUCGGACCUUUGUUCAGCAGGAUGUGAUAGGGAUGUCUCUUCAGUUGGGCCCUUGCCCAGCAGGAUAUGAUAAGAAUAUUUCUCAUGAACCGAACCCCCGUGGAGUGUUUCACUUUGACCAAGGUCUGCGAAAUGGCAGGGGGCUACAAAAUGGUGCAGUUUGGACUAACAGUUGCCAAAGUCUCUGUAUUUUGCAGCCUCCCUUUUGUAAGAAGCACAUUUCCCAGGUAAAACAAAAAAACGUUUUUACAGAUGAUGCUUUUCAGUAUCUAUUAUGGAGUAUGACCACAAUGCACCAAUUUAAUAUUGGAAAAUGCCUAUUCUUCGUGGGUAUAUAUCAUUUCAUAGCAGGUAUUCAGAAGAGUAUUUUGUAAUUCUUCUAACAGUGUUUUAUUAAAUUCUUUAUUUUUCUAUUACCAUUUUAGUUUUGCAUUUCUUAGUUUCAAUUUAUUUAUGUUAUUCAUUAAAUAAGCUUUUAAUUAUUUACCAUUACUUCAUGUGGUGUCAUGCUUUUUUUUUUUUUUUUGAGAUGGAGUCUCGCUCUGUGGCCUAGGCUAGACUGCAGUGGCGUGAUCUUGGCUCACUGCAAGCUCCGCCUCCUGGGUUCAUGCCAUUCUCCCGCCUCAGCCUCCCCAGUAGUGGGGACUACAGGCACCCGCCACCAAGCCCAACUAAUUUUUUGUAUUUUUAAUAGAGUUGGGGUUUCUCCGUGUUAGCCAGGAUGGUCUCGAUCUCCUGACCUCGUGAUCUGCCUGCCUCAACCUCCCAAAGUGCUGGGAUUACAGGCGUGAGCCACAGCACCCGGCCUGGUGUCAUGCCUUAGCAGUUAUUCACAUGAAGUAAAAUUAUGCCAUAAAUAUACAUUUGUAUAAUAAUAUCCAUUUCUUAGUCAGAAGACCUGCCUAUGUCUACUGCCAAUUGGUGUGUGUUUUGGUUUGCUGGUGGAAAAAUACUCUUUCAGAGCACUUCUAAGGUUACGUAGUGUUGAGUGGCUUAUUCCUAGGGUGUUUGAAAGUAGGCUUCCCUUUAAAUAAUUUGAAAAGUAAUCAUCCUUUAUUUGAAAAUUAUAUUCAGUUUGUAUUCCUAUACGUGUGUAAACUUUGAGAACUUUUUAUCUCUUCAGUAUGUGUUAAUUUUAGUGUAAAAGUCAUCAUCCAACUUGAGUCAAUACAAAGUCUAUGGUACUUUAUAUCUUUCGGCUACCUGUGCUAGAUUUGUGAUCAAGGAAUUGUUACCAACAGGGUAGAUUAAUAAACGAGAGUUGUGCCAAAUUUUUUUUUUUUUUUUUUACCAAAAAUGGGAUAAACUGACAUUAUCCCACUGACCUAGCAUGAUAUACCAAGAAGAACACAACAUUCCUUAUAUAGGAUUCCUGCCAAGAAAUGUAUAACCUGAAUCAAAUUAUGAGGAAACACUCAGACAAACCCAAAUAAAGAAACAUUAUUCAAAACAACUGAUGCGUCCUCUUCAAAAUUAACAAUGUCUUGAAAGACAGAGAAAGGCCAAGGAACUAGAUUAAAGUGGUCUAAAUGAUAUGACAACUCUAUGUAAAAAUGAUCCUCAAUUGAACCCCAGAUCAGAAAAAAAAUUAUAAAGGAUAUUAUUAGAACAGUGGGUAAAAUUUGAAUAUGGUCUAGAUUUUAGAUAAUAAUAUUAUAUCUGUUUAAGUUCUUGGAUUUGAUCAUUGUGGUUAUGUUUAAAAUUUUUUGAUAAUUGUGGUUAUGUUUUUAAAAAUGCCCUUGUUCUAGGAGAUAUAUGCUAAAGUUUUAGAGGUGACAGUUCAUAUUUGUAACUUACCCUCAAAUGAUGAUGAGGAUGAGGAGAGAAACAGAAGACAGGGAGGUGGAUAUUUGCUGUUGGUGAAUCUGAGUAAAUGGUUUACAGAUGAUCGGAAUAAAUCGUCCCUGAAAUUUUCUGUAAGUUUAAAAUAUUUCAAAAUAAAAAGUGUAAAAGGGUAAGAAAAUUAUUAACAACAUGUUCAAUGAAAAGACCCAAAUCACUCGUUGAGAUUUUGGGGUCCCAUUUCAAUAUCAUCUAACAUUGACCAUGGUCAUCUCUGGAAGGGGAGAUUCUGAGUGUGCUUCUUAGAUGAAAUUUUCCUUUGAUUUAUGUGUAUUUGCCAUUAUGUGAGGUUUUUACUUUUGAAAUCCAGUUUCAGGUAGAGGUAAUAUUUGCAUUCUGGGGAAAAAGCUUCUGGUCAUGGUUAUUAAUCUUUUACUUAUUGCUUUGCUUUAUUUUCUGUAGCUAUUCCACUGUGUUGCUUGGCUUUCAUUAAUUUUGUUUUCAGAUGUGCAGUUGACAAACACCUUUCCUUCUCGCGGUAGCUUUGCGUCUAAAGUGACACUGAUUGUAAGUGGAGUGCAUGCAAAUCCCCUACCUGGUGGGUUAUGAGGAACUAGGGCUCCAGAUAAAAGUAGAGAUGACUUUGGACCACAAAUCCCCCAACUUGCCAAGUAAGCCAGAAACUCUUCAGAUGUUCCCUAAGGAAGGGGGCGCGGAGACUUGCGGGAAACGGAGUCUGGAAUUUGAUGGAUCGCCUCGGGAACGCCCCGGAACCGGUCUUUGGCAGCCCCGUCUGCGCAUGUGCAGACUUCCUUCUUCCUUACUUCUGUCUCUGAUCAGCGUGGAGCCUCCGCGUCUACGCUUAACUCAGCGACCAGGUGCUGCACUAACGAUGUGCUCCGCAGGUGACAGCUUAGCUUGGAGGGUUGCUUUGCGGGGCUUGGGGUAGGUUUGUGUUCACAGCCUGUGGAAGCAAAAACUUGGGCAAAUCCCACGCGGGUUGAGACCCUAUGGCACUUGUUCCCGAGUCUGCCCUGCAUCUGUCCGUCUAGAAAGCAAGUGAUGGAGGAGGAGGUCCGCUGCGGACCUGCAGGUUCCACGAAGAAGAUAAGGGCGGAGGGAACAGGUUUCCUGAUCAGAAUAAAGGGCUCCGGGAAAAGGCAUUAACAUGUUAAAGAGCUGUUUCCAGAAGCUCUUCUAAUUCGCAGGUGCCCUGGGCAACCAUUCAUCAGCUGGUCAAACCCACGAGUCCAGCGGGGAUGAGAACAAUUCUUAAAACGUUUACUUUAUGCUAUACUAUCAUUCCUACCUUAGCAAGCCUAUUGCAGAUGCAGAGACUGAGUUUGAAAGUAAGAUGAGUUUAUAUCCUAGCUCUGUCACUGGAUCUCCAUGAACACAGUGUUGAACCUAAACUCUAAGACUCAAUUUCCCCAUCUGUAAAAUGAAGUUAUUUAUAAAACCUGCUUCAGGGUCGUUCUGAGUGCUGAAUAAGAGAGCACCUCUAAAGCACUCUGCACAGGUCCUGGCAUUUUCUAAGCACUCUGGAAAUGUGGCUUCCUUUCCCACUGUUCUUUUCACUCGGUGUAUCAUUUGAUUCUCAAAGACCCCCUGUAAAGUCGGUGUUACCCACCCUAUUUUAACUGAGAAGAAAACCAAGACUCUGGAGGUGAAGUCACAUGGCUAGCAAGUGAAGGAUCUGGGAUGCAAGCCUCAGUUUUAUUUCCAAAUCGCAUGCUUCACAGCACUUAGCAGAGUGGCAUGUCUCUAUGGGCCAACCGGAGUGUGUAAGGACUGAGCCUUCCCUUAAGGAUCUUGGAGAUUUCUUGGUAUCUCUGCAGAACCCUGGGGAUACUGUGUAACUGAGGCCUCUGGGAACCUCAAGGUCCAUCUGUCUGUGCCCUCCGCAGUUCUCAGGUUCCCAAGGGAGAUUUGCAGGCAGUGGUUCUCAAACUCGCAUGCAUCAGCAUCACCUGAAGGGCCUGUUAAACCCCACCCCACGACUGGGCCCCACCCCCAGCGUUUCUGAUUCAGUAGGUCUGGGGAGAGACCCAAGAAUAUGCCUUUCUAUUUAGUUCCCAGGUGAUGCUGAUGCUGCCGGUCCAGGGUCCACACUGAAAGCCUCUGUUGUAGGAGAUAGUGAACUCCAAGAGAGAGUUGGAACCGGCUGAAGGUCCCAGUUAUCUGAAUUUAUUCCCUCUCUCCCCAGCCAGGGUCACCCUGCUUCUGUGAGGAGGGAACGCCAGAAGCAGGAAUCUCGCCUGGGAGGUCCCCACCCUCUGAUAAAACACACACAGCUGCACCAAGGACGUCCGGAAAACAGGCAAGUCUGUAAGCGCUUGGUCUUGAAGCAAUUCCCAAUUCUUUUGCCCUGAAUAACUCAUCAUCUCGAGGUUGCCAAGAACCUUCGGUCAAUGAAGGUGUGGGCCAGCUGUCACAGGACAGAGGUGAGCUGGGCUGAGGAUGGAGAGCUGGACUGAGGAUGGUGGGCAGGAGGCCAGCUGCGGGGGAGGAGGAACUCCCAGGUGAGGACCUGGUGCACAUGACGGGGAAGAUACUGUCGCCACUCCUCUCGAAAACUCCUCCCAUGCCCCUAAUUCUUCAGCCCCUCUUCCUAGAUUCUGCAGAGCCCUCAAACCCCACCCAUCUCCACAUCUGGAAUUUAGGGACAUGCUACCCACUACCUACUCUUGACUUUAUAGGAGUACGGGGAAGCUUUUCAGGGGUUAUGUAAUUGUGCCUCAUUUUAAAAGUGAAAAAUAUUAACACAGUGCUCAAGUGAAUGGAUCUGGAGCCGGACUGCCCGGGUUCAAAUCCCAGCUCCACCACAUUGCUCAGUCUUCCCCUCACUUUCCUCUUCUAUGAAAUAGAAGUCAUAAUAGUAGCUAUGCUUGGCUUUCUUUUAAAGAUUAAAUGAAGGAAGACAUACAAAGUACUUAGAACAAGUCCUGUUGUAUAGUAACUACUAUACAAGUAUUGUCAGUAUCUUUUUUUUUUGAGAUGGAGUCUCACAGUGUUGCCCAGGCAACACUAUGAAGGAGAGAAACACUAUGAAUGUAAUGAAUUUGGAAAAUUUAGCAAGAAAUUAAACUUUACCCAACAUCAAAGAAUGUACACAGGAGAAAAACCUGACAAGUGUAAAGACAAUGAGAAAGCCUUGAAGAAGCUAUACCAUACUCAAAAUGAGAGAACUCAUGCAGGAGAGAAAAUCUAUGAUUGUAAGAAGUGUGGGAAAUUCUUUCAUGAAAAAGCAUGCCUUACUCAACAUCAGAGAACCCAUACAACAGGAAAACCCAGCAAGUGUAAUGAUAGUGAAAGAGUCUUAAAGAAGGAAUCUUGCCUCACUCCCAAUCAGAGAAUUAAAACAAGAUUAAAACAAGAGAGAAAAACUGUAAAGGUAAUAAAUGUGAGAAACCUUUCUUUGAGAAGUUGAAACACACCCAACAUCAGAGAAGGCACUUGGGGAAAAAAAUAAUGGGUGUAAUGAAAGUGGGGGUGCCUCAAGUAGGAAGUCACAACUUACACAAAGCCAGAGAGCUCACAAAAAGGAGAAAACCUAUGACUAUAAUAAAUGUGGAGAAAGCUUCCAUAAAAAAACAGAUCUCAGAUAGCAUCAGAGCACACAC
Molecule: RNA transcript, 9491 nt
Organism: Symphalangus syndactylus (siamang)
Lineage: Eukaryota; Metazoa; Chordata; Mammalia; Primates; Hylobatidae
Gene name: E3 ubiquitin-protein ligase makorin-1-like
Source: RefSeq, a predicted model, not a curated record